This is a long non-coding RNA of Carcharodon carcharias (great white shark), 408 nucleotides long. RefSeq lists it as uncharacterized. The record is from RefSeq and is a predicted model, not a curated record. The transcript has 2 exons. NCBI's taxonomy places the organism in Eukaryota, Metazoa, Chordata, Chondrichthyes, Lamniformes, Lamnidae.
ACACAUGGAACCUCCUCCAGCUGUAUCCCUGUUGAUGCUCUUUAGUCUUCUGACUCUGGGUUCCUCUGCAACUCCGAACUAUAUUUCACCAUCCAUGGCAGCUGUCUCAGCCAUUCAUCCUUGAAGUUUCAUCCUUAAACCUCUCCGCUUUUGUUCUGGUCUUCUUAUGUACAAAAUGAUUCCCAAAGAAGACAGUGAAUUCAUGCUGUGUCACUAUGAAUUUGUGGAAGGAAGAUCAGGUUUAAACAAGAAGUAACAGAAAGAGCAGAAAAAGGCAACACACUGGAUGUGGAAUACAUGGACUAUCAGAAAGCCUUCAAUAUGGUGCCAUAUAAGAGACUCCAGACAAACGUCAGGGCAUGUGGAGUUGGGCCAUGUAGCAGAAUAGAUUGAGAUAUGGCUACAAAA